This 4687-nucleotide long non-coding RNA is filed under the name Monomorium pharaonis (pharaoh ant). RNAcentral's name for it is "uncharacterized LOC114255331". The record is from RNAcentral. Lineage: Eukaryota; Metazoa; Arthropoda; Insecta; Hymenoptera; Formicidae.
AAAUGAGUGUAAUUAAAUACAAAUUUAAUUUAGCAAAUGUAUUGUAGAACUAAAAAAUGUGUCUAUAUUAAUUAUCAUAAUGUCAUUAAAUUGCGACAAUUAAUUAUCGGAAAAUAUUACGGUAUCGCGUUUCUCAUCACGAUUAUCUGAUUAAUCCUGCCUUAUUACGCGUCACGCAAAAAUGAUGUUACCAUAAUUAUCCUCCGUCCAUCAGUCUCGGUAAGAGAGAAGGAGAGAAAGAAAGAGAAAGAAGCUAGUUACGACGAGAAAGAUAGGUCAUCGACCAGUGGCGCGUAUCAAACGGCAAUAAAAAAGCAGCUCGUCGCGGUCCGUUCGAAAGCGUGCGCGCGCGUCUCUAACGGACGAGCGUCCUGGAAGUUGUCCCGACCUAAGGACAAACGUACUACUCCGCGUAAGGUCACCCGGGGCUCCGCUCGAUGCAGCGCGUACAUUUCCGCGUUCACGCCGACUGGCCGGCGCGGCGCGGCACAGCGCGACGAGGCUCGGCACGGCGCGGCCAGUCACUGCGAGAGCGUCGCUAGGUCGUAGGUCGAAUAUUCGAUAGGCGAACGCCUGGUUAACGGUACACCACCUCGCCGGGUGCCUCCCCGAAGUUUUGACAAUCCACGUCGUAAGCAAUCGUGCCUGCAGCGGCUGGCAUACCGCGCGCGCUCCCGCCGAGGAUCGGCGCACCGUCUCGCGGACGAUCGGACAGCAACUCCAGGGAGGAACGAAACAGAAAGAAAAGAGAGAGAGAGAGAGAAGGAGAGAAAGAAGGAAAAAGAAAGUAAAGGAGUAAGAAAGAGAAAGAGAGGAGAACGAUGGGAGAUAAGGUGGGCGGCGGAUGCUGUGAAGAAGAGAUGAAGAGAAGAUGGGGAGACUCUCCGUGGAGGCGCGAGCAAUCGGCAUACAUCCGAGGACUCGGACGAGAGAGGCGUGUGCAACGAGAAUUCAAAUAAAUCGCUAAUCGAGGACUUCCCGCGCACGUGUCUGUGUGGUUAUCGAGAAGAAGAAAGAUCGGAGAAGGAAGAAGCGGAUACGCGAUAAAAAUGAAAAAGUCACUGAUGCCAUGCGAGCGACGUGACCUCUCGUCGGUGACCCCGGACGAACCGGCCAGCGACGACGAGGAAAGGGGAAUGCCAGACCUGAGGCUACAUUCACAAUUCGCCGAAAAAGGCAUCGCACACAACCGGCCCGCCGAUUGUGUCGAUCGGUCAACAGUCGUACGUAGCUCCGAGAACUCGUCUUUUCCUGAUUGCAGACAGGCGGAAGAAUCGCCGACUGAUUCGACGCCGCGAAUGAAAUUUGUCAUGGGAUCCUCGUAUUUGACGUUUUCCCUGUGAUCUAAUCGGUCUAUUUAUAUCGGCACAAUACCACAACCUGAUUAAUUUGACUGAUAGAGAAAUAAAUGCUCUCUUUGAUAAAAUCUAAUAGUAAUAUUAGUCUGUUAAAUAAAAUAAUAAUAAAUACAUUUUAAAUCUUGAUUUUUCGUUUCUCUCAAAGCUUAGAUUAACUAGAAAAAUCAAAGACAUUAAUCGAAUCAUAUAAUAAUUGUAAAAAAAUGCAUUAAAAUGUAUUUAAAAAAACUAAACAUGUAAAUUCUCUUACAAAUUACUUAAAUUUGAUAGAUUAAGAUAUUUGGAAAUAUUUGAACUUAAAAGUACAUUUGAAAUGCUGAAUUUUUUUUCGAAUUCAAAUAAUGAUACGAUAUUAUUCAGAGAGUGCAGUUUAUUCCCAUGUUCUCUCGGAGUAAUAGGUUUCGUUGCAUAAAUCGAUUUGUCGAUUCGUGCAGUUUUCUCAACAGAGAAAGUCAGUUAAUAUCGUUGGACAAUUGGCGACAGCCAUUAACGGCCAGUGAAACUGAAACUAAAGGUCCAGAGGGACUGUCAGUUACUUGGCCAUUCCACGCGCGUCUCAUUAGUUUCCCUCCAUAACUUUUCUAACUUCCUAUUUACUUUCCUAACUCAUAACUCGUGUAUUUGCCUGCUCGAACAAAUUCUGGUUUUUAAGGUUUGACAAUUCUGACACUUUUCGUAUAAGCGUGAAGCGCAUAAUGAUGAUUUAAAACACCAUCAUUUAACACAUCACCAUUUACAUGAAUUAUUAUCAUAAGAUUAUUCGCUUUACCAUUAAUAUAAAAAUAUAAACAUUAAUUGUUUGUAAAAUUGUUUAGAUAGAAAAAUUUUUCCAUUUGCCUUAAUUUAAAGAAAAAUUUACCUCAGUACUUCAUAUCAAUAUUUUAUAUAGGACUAUAAAAAGUACCGAUGCCUAAUUAAAUUACGCUAGAAAAAAAAAUUUAAUUCUUAAAUAUAAAUACUUGAUUUUUUAAAGGUAGAAUAUAUCUAUUUCUUGAUAUAAAUAUGUGUGUCUAUCGUGAGAAAUUUCAUUAAAGUUCUUAAAUUAUCAUUCGUUUCCGUCCGAUAUUCCGUUAGAAGAUAAACAAGAGACAGAAAACGAGAGGAGAAGGUAAGGCCCCGUCUCGUUAUUUAGGCUUCAAUUUGAACUUUAAAGUCGAUCGCGGCGGCUGGCUGGGUCGCGGGAAAAAGUCGCCUCGAUCGGCAUCGUCUAAUGAUCGAUACGUUAAUCGGCGACCCGGGCGAGCCUUGAAUUACUGGCGAACUUUCAGGAUACCGCGGGUUUCUGUAACCGGUAUAUCCUCCACUCACCGAGUUUAAACCGAGUGCCUGUCAGUGUUACCUGCCAUUCAGACAAAUUCCGACCAUUAAGCGUCGAACGUUGUGUGUUGCAGUUAUACGAACCCGCUCCUAAAGCUUCGUGCACCUAGCCGAAGAAUAUGAUGUUCGACCGUGGAUUGACCCUUACGGUACCUCCAACGUCAAUGGUUUAAUUACGAUAAAGUCAUUUCUUCACGGCGUCUUUUUGCAAACGAUACAUUCCACCCCUCUUAAAGGUCAAAAGUUGUAUUUAAAGGACGAUGGACCGCUCGAUGCAUACACCGACACCACACACAUGCACGAAUUACCGAUCAUUCGGUCGUUAACAAUCCCGCUAAUUAGAUGAUUAGAAUCUCAACUGUGUAGAUGAUGGAUAUGGAUUAACCGCUUUCUUAACGAUUAACUGCUUCUUCUAAUGUAUAACGCUUAAAACGGUCACGGUAGACUUUUAAUAAUACACCGGGCAUAAAAUCUUUGGGCAGAAAAAAUAAAAAAAAAGUAGAUAUACAAAUAAAACCUACUUAAAUGCAAGCAUUUUUGAUAUUUUUAAACUAUAACAUUCCUCAUAAUGUUGGCAUACAAAACUUACUGAGCUUAUUUAUAAUUAAAACUUAUUAAGUUUGCUCGAUAAGUUUUCAUCAAAUUAAAUAUGCAGUUUUAUGCUAACAAUAUAAUUACAUAUACAAACUUAUAUUUUCUACUACAAAGCUUAAAUCAUCAUUUUUAUGUAAUAUCGUUACGAGCAUCGUUUUUCGCGAAAUUGUUCCACAUUUCUGAUUUUUGCACCGACGUUGGCUCGCCUUUGAUGCCCAUAUCCUAGUUAUCUCAGUCUCUAACCGAUCCAGCUCGAGUCACUAACUCUACUGACUGGCUGUCAGUGUACCUGCUGGCCAGACAAAUUCCGACCAUUAAGCGUUCGAAUGUCGUCGUCGUCGUCGUCGUCGUCGUGGCUGUGAACCCGCUUCGAGGCCCCCGUGUGCCACGACUUCGCCGAGGGAAUAUAAUGGUGGACCGUGGAUUGACCCUUGCGGUACUCCCACCAUCACCAAGGCAAGGCACCGCCAUCACCUACGCCACACGAAGCACCGUGCCGACGACACCGAUUCGCACGACCACCGACUCACCUGGCGAAGUCGAGAGAGACGCGCGCAACGCCUAUGUAGUUUACUUCGAGGCCCGAGCUAUACGUGCCGGGGUCAUAUUCUCAUCGGCGAUGCAUGGCCGCCGGUACAGUCGACGGGAACAGUCGGCCAGCCGGCUGGCCCCGGAGGAGUGCGCGUCGCGAGGAAAAAAAAAGAUCUGGCACAUGGGUCAGCCGCGAUUUUCAACGCUUGUAGUCCACGCCCGCCUUCGCGCGCAAGAAAGAUCCCGGAAACCCGGUUGAGUCCAAUAAACCGAAUGCAGCAACCUGCACGAUGAGAAGAUACGAUUUUUCGUGUACAUGCACAGAAAGAAAUAUUUAAACCUGAGUUGAAUAUUUCGAGGAACAAACAAUAGCUGGAUUCCUAGAUGACCUAGAUUCCAAACCCCAGCUUUGAAAUCUAAAUCACUCGUCGCGAUAAAAAUUUAUGUCUAUAUCUAAAUGUGAACAAAAGUUAUGUUAUCCAUAACUAAUAAGUAUAAAAAAUUAAUUUCUUUAUAUUCCCUUUUUUUCUUUAGAUCAAUGAAAUAUGUGAUGCUGCGAUGAACCAAGUCCGCCUACGAGAUCGUACGUUAUCGGUAGAUCACAACCGGUAGUAACCUUGUCGGGCUUAAAAGAAGGCCAUGGGCGAAGGUUACGAUGAUCGCACGAAUGACAUUACAAAUUCACCGCAAAGCGGAUGAUGGUCGAUUUCUAUUUUUAAAUUGCCAGAUACACGAUACUAUAAUAUUUUAUCAUUUAACGUUAAAUAAUUUAUGACGGUAUGUAAGCGGAUAAGAAGAUUGCGUCGGGAAUCUUUUUUAUUGAGCCGAAUCAUUUAACCGAUGUAAAAAAGUGUGUAAAAAAAAAAAACAGUUUUAAAAAUGACAAA